CAGUAAUUUGAUGCAGGGCCUCCAUUUCAUCCGUUGAAAUAAAAAAAAACACCACAGCCCUGUGGUUUUCUCUAAGAUUCAUUUUAGCUUCCUUCUAUAACCUUCAUUAAUCUCUCCAGGAACACCUUGCAGAGUCUCGUUCUAAGCCUUUAGGGCUCUGGGGUUAGAGUUAACUCUUAAUUGAGCCUCCUCUUACCAAGAACAAACAACACAGGCUGUCUACCAGGCAGGAUUUACAUACUCAGACUUACACCUUCUCUUCUCCUCCAUUCAAGACAGGGGGGGCAUGCAGAAGCCUUGAUCUCCGAGUGGUCUGUGGCCGUGAGGUGGAGAGAUACAACUGCUUUGUCGAGGACCCAAGGGAAAACCGAGCCGUGGCUGUCUGAGUCUUAUCAAAGGAAAAACGAUUGGUGCCUGGCACAUUACAGGCCCUCAAUGUCUACCAGUUGGAUGACUGAAAGUGACUGGGGCAUCCGCCUGUCAUGGGUACGAAAGCCAGCUUCACCAUUCUCUACCAGCUUGCUCCAGGAGUCAAUGUUCUGGGUGGCUCACAGGAAUUAAUCAUGGCAGUAACACCAUGAGCAGGGUCACUGUGAACUGUUAUGCAGGCAUGUUCUGCGGAAAGGGUCCACUUGGCUGAGAGGCAUGCUUCUUGCCGAAUCAUGAGUGCAGGUGUGGAGCUGUGUCCACUUGGAGGAAGGAAGACCUUUUGCUAAUGCAUAUCCAGGAUAUAAGCUGCUACAGGGCAGGGCUUUUUGUCUAUCCUGUUCCCUGAUGGAUCCCAAGUGCCUGAUCCAGUGCCUUGCACAGAGUCUCUCAGGCUGCCCUCACCCCUGGGGGAAGUGGGGGAUGAAUUUGGCAGAGCUGGCCUCAGGAGGUGGAUGGCCUUGCUUCAGAGGCUCUCUGUCAAAACUCUUUCUACUGCUCAAUCAUCUUCCUGGGAAAAAAUAUCAGAUGGCAGGAUCGAGAGGGAGCAGUGUUGCCUGGACAGUGUGGGAAGUAAAUGGCACAGUAUGGGAUUAAAGAAGGAUAUUUGGUAAGUCCUGAACUUGUGUCCCACAAUCAGUUUUCCUCAGACAGGACAAUAAGACACUGCAGGCCUCAGAAGGAUCAAAGUAAAUCAGCCAUGCCUAGCAUAUACUGAAACCAUAUCUGCAAGUUCUGAAGAUCAUGGAACACACAGAAUGUUUGUUGAAUUCAUAUCAAGAUGAAUGAAAAUAAGCGUGGAAAAGAAACUAAGAAGUGAUUAUUCUGUUGUUUUCCAAGCUGGGCAAACCACAUGUGUAGCAAGGCUGGCAUUUGUCCUGAAUCACUAUGUUUCCAGGACCACAGACACCCAGGAGUAUAGUCAGAAGUAGGUACGUGGAUCUCAAAACAAUGUUAUAAGAAAGCUUGAAGGAAUGGAGAACAUUUAGCCCAGGAGAGCAUCCAUGGGACAUGACUAUUAUUUUCAGAAAAUGGAAGGCUCUUGAUGUAGGGCAGGGAAUCACAAUUGUUUUGUAUGGCCUCAAGGAGCACUGGAGCCAUGCAUGUGAAUUGCAUUUUAGCUUAGAAUUUAAACUUCGGAAAACAUUCUAAUAAUAGAGCUUUUAAAUAUAGAAUAGGCAGACUCAGUAGGAAGUCAGCCAUCUACAAGUAAAGGUCUUCAGCAUGUGCUCUAUCAGGUGACAGAUUCAAAAGUUAGUCUGGAUUACCUUUAAAGGAAAAAAUUAUUUGAUUCUAUGAAAGGGGGGAGAAAAGUCACUAUAUUAGUUGGAGUAAGGGCUCCAUAACAGAGACUCAACAAUUCAAUCACAUAAAGGGCCAGGAAAUUGAUGACUCUCUCCCAGAACACUGCAAGGCAGGUAGGCAGCCUCUGCUUCAUAAAACCAUCAUGGGAACCAGGCUGGGGUGGGAGAACCUCAAUGUGAGGCUUCUGAGGCAAACCCGGUUGUCAACCAUAUCCAGUCAGUGGGAGGAAACAGGCGAAGUCCAGGACUGGAUACUGCUUAUUAACCAUGGAAUACAGAAGUUGCACGCAUUACUUCUACUCCUGUUCCAUUGGUGUAUCUGGUCUCCUGACUACAUUUCACUGCAAGGGAUGCUGGGAAGUGUACUCUGAGCCAAGCAGCCAGGAAGAAAAAAAAUGAAUUGAGAAUCCCAUGGCAGACUUGUGAUGGACAUCCCAAUUAUCCUGAUUUGAUCAUUACACGUUGCAUGUAGGUAUCCGAAUAUCACAUAUACCCCAAAAAUAUGUACAACUAUUAUAUAUAAAUAAAAAAAAUUUUAAACAGCACACUUGGCUACAGUCAUCUAUCAAACUAUCUGUCAAUUGUUUAUACAUCUAUUACUAUAUUAAUAAUAAACACCAAUGUGUUAUAUUAAUAUUAAUAAAUUACUACAGUUAAAAACACUGCUUUAAAGCCAUUCUGCCUGGUUAUGACACCUAACUCCACCA
This 2437-nucleotide long non-coding RNA is filed under the name Homo sapiens (human). Its description in RNAcentral is "HSALNT0277283". The record is from RNAcentral. Lineage: Eukaryota; Metazoa; Chordata; Mammalia; Primates; Hominidae.